CAAGUCUCUUGCCACACCCCUCCCCCAUUAAUAUAUACAAGUCCUCUGCAAUCUAUACUCCAUCCAGGUGCCAGGAAACUAUUAUUUCGACCUAGACAGGCUGACCCAGCUGGUGCUGGGGGAGGAUGGGAGGACAUAUGGUAGGCUGCUACAAGAGUGUCAAUCUGCGAGAACUCCCAAGACCAAAUGUUUAAAGUCAUGAUGCAGUGGUAUACACCACCAGUGAAAUUGUAUAGAAUAGGAACAAUACCAACAGAUGAUUGCAGGAGAGGAUGUGUGUUACGGGGGACAUAUUUGCAUAUGUGGUGGGGAUGCCCACAAGUUAAUAUUGUGAGGGGGUCCAAGUGUUGCUUGGCCAAGUUUUUCUUAUACAAUUUGAUCUUGAUCACCGGGUAUACAUCCUGUCUCAACCCAUUAAGGGGAUCCUUCCCCCCCUUAAAACAAAAGCUAUAGAUUAUAAUAGUGCUAGGAGCCUAGAGCGCUAUAGCAGCUGGAUGGCUGGGUGAUAGACUCUCAACCCUACAAGAGAAAAA
Molecule: non-coding RNA, 533 nt
Organism: Pelobates cultripes (western spadefoot toad)
Lineage: Eukaryota; Metazoa; Chordata; Amphibia; Anura; Pelobatidae
Source: the annotation of a GenBank genome assembly